RNA transcript from Corapipo altera (White-ruffed manakin), 6354 nucleotides. RefSeq lists it as uncharacterized. Lineage: Eukaryota; Metazoa; Chordata; Aves; Passeriformes; Pipridae. The record is from RefSeq and is a predicted model, not a curated record. The transcript has 14 exons.
GGGCGGCACCGCCUGCGGAGCGGCCGAGCCGCCACGAGAUGGCGCACGAGGAGCGGCCAGGCCGCCCCUCAGCCCCGCUCCCGCCCCUCAGCCCCGGCGGGCACCGGCGGCAGCUCCUGCCGCCCCCAGGACGGCCCUCAUUUUGCCUUCCCAGGCUUGGCCCUCAUUUGCAAAGUCCUGGAAAAAGGAGGCGCCAGAGUUUUCUUGUGUUCAGCCACAGGCAGGGUUACAGUAAAUGGUUUCCUCUUGCUUCCUUCUGGGAUCCUGUGCCAGGGCAGAAGAGCCAUAACAGGACCUUCCUGGAUUCUGAGUCUGCAUUUAUGAUAAGAAUAGGAGAAAUGUAUUCACGAUGACCCCAAUCUGCACAAGUGUUCAGCUUUCCAGCCAAAAUUUUGGGGGACAAAAAAGAGGCAAGUCCAGACUUUCAGUUAAUCUUGCUAAACAGUUCAGUUGCUACUCACAGGUCUAAUGGUCAACACAGCCAUAUCAUCAUCUGAAUCCAACAGCACCAACCGACUUAAAAGCUGGUGCUUGGUUCAGCUCUAGGUUCUCUAAAAUUAACAACGUGUGUAAGGAUGCUGUUCAACCAAAACCCAAAGGACUUCCCUGGUUAUUCUCAUUCAAGCAUGCUCACUGAUAGUGAUUAUUAGCAAUAUCUUUUUUUAUAAAUGAUUUUUAUUUUCAAGAUAAGGUCCUAAAAAUACUUUUUUCUUAAGCAAUAAUGUCUAUGUUUAUGUGUUAUAUGAGGCAGAUGUUGGUUAAAAGCUUAAUUCUCACUUAUGAUAUCUUUCAGUCCACGAAAGGGUUGAUUAGUGUCCCCUAGCUGAACCAUUUUUUCCCUCUGUUGCUUUGACCCAUUGAUUUAAUUAAGGUCUAAUAAAGAGAGGGCUGAAAGAUUGUUAAAAAUCCUUUUUUUUUUUUCCUACAAAUCUGACCUAUGCUCGUCUGUCAGUGCAUUUUUGACUCGCACAUGCCCUCUUUAGUACGUAAGCAUACUUAUACAGUUUGUCUUCCUUAGAGCCAGUUGUUUUUUUCCCCUCAGUGAUAGGUCAGAUUUAAUUUUGUUUUAACCAAAGCAAAUGCUUUCCUGGAGACCUUCUAUUUUAGUGAAAAUAAGUAAUGAAAAAAUAACUGAAACAAGUCACAGUAUCAAAAGGAAAGACCUUAGAAAGCUUAGUGGUGACUCUUUCUUUUUCUGUUUCCUUUCCCAUCCUCCUGUUGCCAGUGAAGAAAGAGAAAUGAAAAUUCUGAGUUUGCUUUUCAAUUAAGUAACAAGAAUGACUCAAAGUUUAUGAAACAUGGAGGGUUUUCAUUGAAAAUGCUUGCUACUUUUCAAUUUUGUGUCUUGCCUAGGUUCACCCUACUCGUCAUAUUGCCAACCUCCUGUUUUCCUUUCCCUUCUCCUCCUACCAGCUCUGCAGUUUACCACUCUAGGGUGAGAAGAGCUGCUCCCAGCAUGCUAAUUUUGCCACUGAGCAGGCUCAUCUGUAUCUUGUAAAAGGGAGAUUACCACACUCUGCUUCUGCGGUAGGAGAGGACUUCUGGCACUGGGGCUCCCGGUGCUGUCCCUGCUGUGCCAGGACCACAGUGACGGUCUUCAGAAGAAUAAGGGGAAAAAAGCCCCAGCUGCAACUUCAAGGAAUGGCUCAAUGUGCUAUUCAUGGCUUGAGAGAACAGCAUUGCUAUCCAUAGUGGCAGUUUGUGAGUGUGAACCUUCUUAGAUGGUUCUCAUGCUCAGUUUUCUGUGCUGCAGCUCGUUAGCAGGAGAGCUGCCUGCGGGGCUGCGUCAGGUUUGCAGUACAACAGGAUAUGCACUAAAAUAAAAAUCUGGUUAGGGGUGGUGUGAUUCCAGUGCUGGCUGGGCACUGGCAAUUAAGCCUGGAUGAAAAUAAGACACCUGGACUUUGUAACUCCUGGGAUGUGACAUACCACUUGCUGAGGGCCAUCACUGCCCAGGAAAGCACUAAAGCAGGUGUAUAAAUCCUACUGUGUUCAGUGGGAUUUAGGCACCUGCUUAAAUUUAAGUGCUUGUUUAGAGAGUUUCCUGAAUGAAAGCCUGACAAUUGUGCCCAAGAGUAACUUUUAAAUUAGUUUUAAUUUGCUCAUCAUAACCAGCUGUCAUGACUCUAUGUAAAAAGGGUUUGAUUUUGGAAAGAUGAAAGACUUCUCAGGUCCUUGGCUUUCAUGUAAGCACCCUUCCUGGAUGGCCAGCACCCUGGUCAGCUGAAGCAGCUCUGCUUUUAUUCAUCCUUGCUCUGUGGUCCCACUGGGGCUGUGGUGUUAGCUGAGCACUCUGCAAAGCAAACUGCCCUGCCAGCAACUGACAUCACCCGACUGUGCCUCUCCAGCCAUGUCCCAUCUGAGGCAAUCUGCAGGAUGAAACAGAGGAAGAGAGAGUCCACUCUGUAUUUAGGAGGUUCCAAGUCAGCCGUGUCAAGAUUUGAACAAGAAUCAAGGAGGAUAAUAGGUCAGAUGUAAUUAAGAGGUCUCCAAGGAGCUCUGGGACAACCAGGGCACUGCCAGCUGCUGUGUGAGAGCUGGAGCCUGCCACAGCGUGAGAGGGGCCAGCAGUGAGAAACGGGCUGCCUGCACAAGUCUGAAGGUUUAGCUCUGCCAGAGGUUAGAAAAGAGGUUGUUUGUCUGAAGAGACACGGGUGUGGUGAAAAUACUCGGUGCCGGCCAAGUGAACCAAAACACUAUCUGAAUUACAAAGCAGGCUGGAAAAUAAAAUGUAACUGUCGGAAGAUCUGGACCCGACCUGUGCUGAGAGACAGAUAGAAAAGAAGUCACAGGAGCUGGCCGUGUACAUCUGGAGACAGGACACAACUCUCACACUGAAUUAGGCGCAUUUGGAUAGUUUUUUAAAAUCUCCAUGGGUAACAAACAGAGAAGACUUUUUCCCUCACACUGGCCUGGACUGAACACUUGGUGGGCAGUAACAUGUGAACUCUGACCACAUCACUGGUGUGAAAUUGCUGAUUAACCUUUUGACUCUGACAAUUGGGACUUCUCUCAACACCAACUGUUUCUUCAAAGUUCUUUUUAGAGCACUAUGCAAAGAAAGAGAAAGAAAUUCUCCACUCUAUGUGUGAACACAUCUGCUAUUAAUGCUGAGGGGAGUUAAGUGUCUGCUUCUACAGGAGAAUUCACCCCAGUGUUCUAUACUGAAAGGACACUUCAAAAGAGCAGUGCCCACAUAAGAAACAGCAAACUGCUCUUCAGAGGCAAUAUCCUGAUAUGACAACAGACGUAGAUAAUGUACUUCAUGAUGGAACUGCUUGAUACAGAGAGAAACAUGUUGUAACUGCCUUCACCAUGAAAGGGGUUUAAAAAUGCUGCCUGCCAACUCCACAAAAACCAGAGCUGCUAUUUCAGUUAAAGGCCAGUGGAUUGUAUUUUUCACGUCAGUUUUCACUAACCUCAAACAUCACUGUUAUGACAGACUGUCAUCCAACCAAACCAGCACUCUGGUGCCAUUCAAGCAAGCAGGAAGAAAGCAAACACAAGGAAACUUAGAAGUCCAAUUAAGGUUGGAACCCAAUUUAUCCAGAAGCUGGGAGGACCUGAACUGGCUCUAGCAGUUCUGAAAGACAGAAAAAGCAACAGAACUUUCCUCUAACAAAACUGGUACAUUCAAGGAGAAGCUGCAGGAAUCAGUCUAAGUUACCACUGAUGAUGAAAUGUCAAACCAUUCUGGCAGGCACUUGUUCAGUCUUAAGGAGCUUUAAAUUACUUCACAGCUUGAGAUUCCAGACAAUCAGGCUACCAGGACCCAUGAUGCUGAUAUGAAAGAGGACUGACUUCAAGGAUGUUGAGAAAGAAGAUAGAAAUUUCCAUCUUCACUGUUCAGGUUCUUCCUUUACAGGGGUUCCUUCAGCUACACAACUAGGAGAUUGUUCCUGUGAAUCCUAAACUUCAGAUAGGAGAUUGAUACCAGAAGGCACAACCAUUUGAAGAUGAGGUCUGAGGUCUGAUACACAGCUACUGCUGUGGAGAUUUAGUUGGAAGAAUAUGUAUUUGCUGGAGAGUGUUCUUCAGAUGACCCAACAGACCUCACGGCUGCCAGGAUUCAUUCUGUUGGGAUUACGGGUCUCUCCCAUUUCUGCUUUUCUCUAUGAUGUUCUUUCUCUCUGGGGCUCGCCUUUCAUAAGGAGCUACACUCAGCAGAGGACUAACCUUAUCUGAUGGCUCUUUGGAACAAGUGCUGUAACACUUGCCCAUCUAUUAGUAUAAAAAUUUUCUUAAAACUCAGAAAAUGAAGAAUGAAUUAGUUCUCAGAAUGUCUGCACAUGGGUUGAAGUGAAAUUUAUGCAUUUACUGAACUCCUGUUUGAGAGAUGUGUCUGGGGUCAAGAAAAGGUUAAAGUUGUUUACUGCCUUCAAGCCCUGGUCUUAGAAGUUAAUUCAGAGCUGUGGUGUGAGUGGCUACAGAGAAUAAGUCCUUGGAGCAGUGAAUUGCUGGUAUGAUGUCAAGGUCCAUGGGCCUUAAUAAUAAAAUUAGUUUGUUUCUUAAGGAAAUCCUAGCAGAGACUUUAUAGUUAUAUAAAGUCAUUACACUGUUUUACAACAUAACUUUAAAGAUGCUUUGGAAUGAUUAGAGUUUGUGGGAAGGGAUCAUGUUUUUAUUAUUUGUGGAAUAUCCUCAAGCUGUCAUAGCUACAGCACUGCCACUUGGAAUAGCUGCUCCACAGUUCAAAAGAAAAGACAAAGGAUCUUUUGAAGCCUAAGUCAGGCAAAUAGGGCAUAUCUGUCCAGAGAAAGCUUGUUGAAUGGAAUGGAUCCCAUGUACUUCCUGUCAAUUGAUUCCAAUUUUGUAGGAGCUGGAUAUUUGGGGUAAUCAAGGUAUUUUACUACAAUUCUACAAGAGCAGAUAAGAGAGCCUAUGAAGUUCUACGCUCUGCUUUUCACAGUUCUCUGUUGGAGGAUUUAGGGGUGAGCAAUUUUAAAAGUCAUAGAAAAGGAAGAAGGCAUACUUUUCAAAACGUCAAGAUUCUGUGAAUGUAAAGACAGAGGAAACACUAAACGAGACAAAAACUUUCCACCCUCUGCACAGCACUGCUGGUAAGAAUAACACUGCAUUUCUGCUCUGCUAACGCUAAGGCAACACCCUCCUCCAAUGCAGAAGGGAGACAAGGAACCACUGAUUUGGGAGGAGGGGAACAUGCCAUGGACAGGUUCACUCUCCCCAGCCUACUGUCCCUGUGGCACAGAGGGAAGUGGGGCUUCUGGAAGAGACUGGUGGUACAAGCACUGUAGGGCCCCACUUUCCUCCUUUUCUGUGAACUCUGCCUAACUGUUUCUGUGAAAGAAAGCAUCAAGCCCCAUCUUGUUCAUAGAAAUACAACGUAUUUUAAAGCCAUAGUUAAUGGAUAAACUAUUUUCUGAUUGGAGGGGCCACACAAUAAAUCUCUUCCCGAGCCAAGUGCAAUGCAGCUUAUUCAGUUACAGUGAAAUAAGCCACUGUCACUUUGCUGCACUUGCAUACAUCAGGCAAAAUACUUCCAUCUUCAUCAGCCUUGUAGUGAAACAGAAAUAAAACAAUUGUAACAGAAUGGUGUCACUGGAUCUGUGGCACCUGCUUUAAAAAUAAAUCUCUUAGCUUUGUCUUCACUAUUACUUUCAAUAAAUGUCCUAGCAUUGCCACAGCAUUUAUCUAGCAGCAGGAAACCAUUAUACUAUGACAACAAUCUAUUCCAUUAACAUUAGCUCUUAAUUGUAAGACUGUUUAUAAGACAGCAAAAGCUACUGAAUCAUAGUAGAAUGAUAAAAAGAGUUAUGGUCGUGGAGUACAGGAGUCGCUCCAGUUUUGAAAAACAAGAAGAGUAGAGAGUUAUAUUUUUGUAUGAAAAAUAAUGUAAUAUUCUUACGCAAUACAAUGUUUUCAAAUAAUGGAUUACAUCCUCAAGUAACUAUUAAAGAGUUAAUGUUAAAAACUGUUACUAAGAAACUCUUUGAUAAAUGGUAGAGUUAAAAAACUGAAUAGAAAGCUUAGAAACUCUCCUUCUUGCUUUCAGCAAGGCUGCAUCUAUUCAAACAGAGAAAUCAUCAUAACAUUUGUCUGGCGGAGAGAGCAGAAGGAAUGUUGCAGAAUUGAGAUAUGAAGAACCUCACUGCAGAAUAGAAGGAGAACUGUCAUUCUGAUCGUUUGUCAUUAUUGUUUCAUGUCCAGUUAAGUGAACUUAUAGUGACAGUUGUGUCAUAACUACUGGCAUCUAUGUAAAUUUCAAAUCAAAUAUGAUAGAGGCAUUUCUGCCAGAUGCAAGUCACCAGGCUGCUCUUCCUCUUUAUUUUUGUAGCCCUUCAUUUUCUUAUACUGUGCUGGUAGCUCUCAAAUUAAAAAGACAACUUAAGGGGA